AUAAAUGUUGUUUGCAAUAAAAUAGUCGUAUUGAUUAGCUAAAACUUAAUAUUAAUCUUUUGAAAAGUCAGUAUACAUUUACACUAUUUUUAGGUUGUAGAAUGUAUUGAUGGUAAAACAUUGAUCUUCUUUUUCUUCGGAAUUUCUCGCGGUAUUUUUAAGCGGCAAUUCAAAUUUGAUUAAUUUUUUUUAUCUCUCCUUUAAUUUAUAUUAUAAAGUUACUUGAUAAAUUACUAGUUAAAUUUGUAAUUCAUAUUAUUUUAAGAAAAUGAUAAACAAAAAUAGGAUUUUACGAAAAAUAUAAUUAUUAAAUAUUCGUGCGCUCUGUAGUUUUCGGUGUCCAGGUGUAAAUACUGUUCGAAGACGUUGUCUAGGUGUACCGGGUGGCUCAUGACGAGGUCAUGGGAGUGCGCUCCGUAGUUUUAGAUAUCUAGGUGUAAAUACUUGACCAGGACAGCGUCUAGGCGUAUAGGAUAGCCGAUGACGAGGUCUAUGUGGUGCGCUCCGUAGUUUUCUGUGUCCAGGUGUAAAUACUGAUCAAAGACAGUCUAGGUGUACAGGGUGGCCGAUGACGAGGUCUAGGUGGUGCGCUCGAUAGUUUUCGGUGUCCAGGUAUAAAUACUGAUCAAAGACAGUGUCUAGGUGUACAGGGUGGCCGAUGACGAGGUCUAGGUGGUGCGCUCCAUAGUUUUCGGUGUACAGGUGUGAAUAAUGAUCGAAGAUGGUGUCUAGAUGUACAGAGUAGCCGACGACGAGGUCUAGCUGGUGCGCUCCGUUGUUUUCGGUAGCUAAGUGUAAAUACUAGAGCGGGACGGCGUCUAGGUGUACAAAGUGGCCAAUGACGAGGUGCAGGGAGUGCGCUCGAUAGUUUUCGGUGUCCAGGUAUAAAUACUGAUCAAAGACAGUGUCUAGGUGUACAGGGUGGCCGAUGACGAGGUCUAGGUGGUGCGCUCCAUAGUUUUCGGUGUACAGGUGUGAAUAAUGAUCGAAGAUGGUGUCUAGGUGUACAGAGUAGCCGACGACGAGGUCUAGCUGGUGCGCUCCGUUGUUUUCGGUAGCUAAGUGUAAAUACUAGAGCGGGACGGCGUCUAGGUGUACAAAGUGGCCAAUGACGAGGUGCAGGGAGUGCGCUCCAUAGUUUUUGGUAUCUAGGAGUAAAUACAAGACUGUAACAGGGUCUAAGUGUUCAGGGUGGCUGAUCACGAGGUUCAGGUUAUGAGUUCCAUUUUUUUCUUUUCUUUUUUUUUGUUCUAGUAUAAAAACAAGUCAAGGUAAAAAUUCGAGAAUGUUGACAUUUGAAUACUAAACUAUACAAACCCACUUAUACUUGCCAACAUUUCACUUUUUUUGAAAGGUUAAUUUUUAGAUAGAAAAUAUACUUUCACAAAAGUAAAUAAAAGUUUGAUGUUUUUUUAAAUUUUAUCCCAACCCUGGCUUGACUUCUUAAUUCAUGUAGAUUGUUCAUUUAAGUCGUUUCAAAAUAAAAUAAAUAAAUAUUUGAUGGAUUCGAAUGGAUUUAUUUAAGUGAGAUCAUUCACAUUUUUUUGUAACGUUAGAGAUAUUUACUGUUGGAGAUAUACAAAAUAUUAAACUGAAGUUUUUAAAAUCUCAGUAGUUUACAAUUAGCAGAAUACAGUACUAGAACUCGGAUUUAGGAAAAUAAAUUUUAAUAAAUUUAUUAAUUGGAAUAAAUACAACUUAUUUAAUAUAAAUAUUAUAUUAGAAUACAAAAUAGUAUAUUAUGGAAAUAAGGGGGUUGGGGCAGGGGAUUCUUGGCUAGGGUGACGAAUGUAUUACUCUUCCUGCUGUUUCAUAAUAGAUUGUUUAUUACGUUACUGAGUUUUACUAUUUACUAAGUUUUCCAAAAUUCCUCAAUAUCCCGAUUUUCCUAAAUAUUCCGAAUACCUUUAAGAGUGCUCUACAAUCUUAAACCACCAAUGAGAACACAAGAUUUGUCUCGACAAAUUACGGCUUUAUUUAAUAACAAAUUAUAAAUCCGUAAUUUGUCGAGAAAAAUCUCGUGUUCUCAUUGGUCGUUCAGGAUUGCAGAGCACUCUUAAUCUUAAAUGUAAGAAAAUAGCAUUCUCCUAUAUAAAAAUGUUUUCAGCAAUCUUACUUUAACUCGAUAUGGAUGGAUUACGAUGUUUUCUAUGCCAAUAUCAAUUAAUUCCUGGUGGAUUAAAAGAUUUUACACAACAUUUUACUAUGUAUCAUAGUAUUAAUGUUACCAAAGGAAUACCUGAUACUGGAUUCAUAUGUGGGCAAAAUGGUUGUCAGAGCAAUUUUGUUCAUUUUCGUAACUUAAGACGUCACAUAUUAAAUAACCACUUGGCUGAAGCAAAUUUGGCAACAGCUGCUGCCGAUGACGAAGUCAAUGUUGAAAUGAAUGAAAAUAUGGAAUAUUACAAUAACGAUAUAUUAGAGCAUCAUGAAAUGGAAGCUGAAGCAUUCAAUAAUAUGGCUAGGGAUAUUGUAAAUGCCCCUUUAGAUUUGCGAUCUUACAUUGUUAAAAUGAUUUGUAAAUUGCAUAGUGAUAGCUCUAUGACAGGAUCUGCUAUAACGAUAUUUCUAAACCAUAGUGAAAAUUUGCUUUCAAUCUACUCAAAUUCAUUAAAAGAUGAAAUAAAUGCUCAACUGGUUCAACAUCUAGUAAAUAAUGAAAUUAUUAGAGACGUUAAUAAGGUUUUUGAUAACGAAAAUCCAUUUCUAGAUUUAAAAACAUUUGAACAGCAAAUGAAGGCACUGAAUGAAAAUAGUGACUACAUUGAUCCAAUCGAAAUUCCUUUGGGUCGACGUGUGGAUUCCAGAUUAAAUAAAACAACUCUAUCGUAUGUAUCAAAAGAGGUCGUAGAAUCUUAUCAAUAUGUUCCUGUAAUAAAGGUUUUAAAAAUGGUUUUAAGCAAUCAAGAAGUUAGGUUAAUUAUCGAUAAUGAGCAGCCAUCUUCUGAUGGUAGUUUGGAGUCAUUUAUAGACGGGAAUCAUUUUAAGAAUCAUGUUUUCUUUCAAAAGUACAAAAAAGCUUUAAGAUUAAAAUUAUAUUACGAUGAGAAAGAACUUGUUGGUCUCUUAGGUUCUAAAACGGGUGUUCAUAAGGUUGGAGUUUUUUACUACCAAAUUUCAAAUUUACCUGCUCAUAUGAAUUCUGCGUUAAACAGUAUUCAUGUUUUGAUAGUAGCUCAUCACGUUGAUGUCCAAAAGUAUGGCUUCGAGAAAAUUCUUUCUCCUUUUAUGAAAGAGUUAGCCCAAUUAGAAAGUGAUGCGGGAAUAACUUGGAGAUGCACUAGCCCUUCAUGACGUUUUCAACUUAUUGAGUCCUUCAGCAAAUUUAUUUUGUUCAUUGUGUUUGUAUAAUCGACAAAAUCUACACAAUUGUUCUUUUGAAAAAUCUCAAGUUCGUACUAAAAAGGUAUAUGAUCAGCAUUUGGAAUUACUGAAAAGUACAAAUUUCUCUGAUGAUUCAAAGACAGCAACGGGCAUGAAAGGUGACUGCUGCUUGAAUAAAUCUUUAUAUUUUCAUAUUACAAACAACAAUGUAUUUGACAUUAUGCAUGACUUUUUAUGCGGUAUAUGUCCAAUAAUUUGUAAAUUAGUUCUCCAUGAAUAUGUAUGUGCCCAAAAACGAUUUGAUAUUCCUUUUUUAAAUAAUCGCAUACAUUUGUUUAAUUAUGGUUAUCUUGAAGUUAAAAAUAAACCUUCAGCAACUUUCACCGAAGAUAUACUCAAGAGAAAGGAUCAUACACUUAAACAGAAAGCUAUGCAAAUAUGGUUGUUGACUAGAGCUUUGCCAUUUCUACUCGCAGGAAAGAUUGAAGAAGGAGAUGAACACAUGUAUCUAAUAAUUCUGUUACUUCGAAUAAUGGAAAUUAUUUUUUCACCAAAAUUACAAAAACCUUUGCUUUCUCUUUAUGAUAAUCUAUAAUAAUCAAUAAUCUACUUCAGGAAUUCGUAGAAUGCUUUAAAAAUUUAUUUCCAAAUGUUAAUAUCAUCAACAAAUUUCAUCACGCAAUGCAUUAUUCUGAAUGUGUUCUUUGGUCUGGACCUCUUGUUCACUUUUACUGCAUGAGGUUUGAAGGAAAACAUAACGAAUUGGCCAAGCGAGCUCAAGCUGUAAAUAAUUUUAAAAACAUACCAAAAACUAUAAUUCGAGUAUCACAAUGUAUUCAAUGUGAAAAGUGGAGUUCAGGAAAUGUUAAAAUAAACCAUCAUGAAGUAGUAACUGGUAAAACAAAAUUUGUUUGCAGUACAUUAAGUAGACAGUAUCUUCUUCGACUUGGUUUUGAAGGUAAUAAUUCUGUAUGUGUAACAAAAUCGGUUUUAGUCAAUAGUGUUGAAUUUCGACCAAAGCUAUUUGUUAUUUUGGAAAAAGCUUCAUCAAGGAACGAUAGCUUACAUCUUGUCGGGAGAAUAGAAGAAAUCAUUGUAACAGAGGAAAAAAAUACAUUUUUCCAGAUAAUAGCUGAAUUCGAACUCAUGUCUCCAGAAAAAUGUGAUGAUUUCUUGUCUAAAUUUGGCCCAUAUUACGUUCCACGUAUUUUUGAAUAUACAAGAAUAUGCAAUUAUGAUUUAUGGAAAAAACAUAAUGCUAUAACCGACGAUGUUUUAAAAGCUUUACUUCUGUUGAUAACAUUAUUGCCAGUAAGCAAUGCUGUCAAAAAUAAAUCAAAGAAAAAAGUUGAUAAGCCAAUGGAUAGUUCCCAGAAAAAGAAAGUUAAAAUGAUCGAGCCCUAUCGAUUCAUGAUCGAAAACAUAAAUGCUGGAGCUAAUGUUCAAGAAUUCGUAAAAUCGAAACGAUCUGAAUGCACAUCGACCAUUCAACCGUACAUCAUUCAAGUUGAUGGCGAGACACCCCACUUUUAUGUUAUUGCUGACAAUGCUAUACUUACGUGUAAUAAUCGAAACGAUUUUACUGUGGCCUUUGAUUUGAUGUUUAAAAUUUAUUUCAUAUUUAAUAUUCAGUAUCCAGUGUCUUUACAAAAUGUCUAUACGUUUAUAGAGUCGUACGUAUAUCGCUUAAUAGAAAAAAAGUCAAUUUCUAUUGUGGCAUCAUUAUAUGUCAAUUUAAAAAAUAUGAAUUUGACUCACGAUAGCAAUAGUUCUGAUAGUGACGAAUAAAAUUGCUAUU
Nasonia vitripennis (jewel wasp) is the source of this 5122-nucleotide RNA transcript. RefSeq lists it as uncharacterized. NCBI's taxonomy places the organism in Eukaryota, Metazoa, Arthropoda, Insecta, Hymenoptera, Pteromalidae. The record is from RefSeq and is a predicted model, not a curated record. The transcript is spliced from 3 exons.